CUGCUCGCUUGGGCAGCACAUAUCUAAAAUUGGAACGAUACAGAGAAGAUUAACAUGGCCCCUGCGCAAGGAUGACACGCAAAUUCAUGGAGCGUUCUGUAUUUUU
This 106-nucleotide small nuclear RNA is filed under the name Prolemur simus (greater bamboo lemur). The record is from RNAcentral. Lineage: Eukaryota; Metazoa; Chordata; Mammalia; Primates; Lemuridae.